Molecule: long non-coding RNA, 536 nt
Organism: Oreochromis aureus
Lineage: Eukaryota; Metazoa; Chordata; Actinopteri; Cichliformes; Cichlidae
Source: Ensembl
UCUCAAGAACGACAUUUGUCUUCUGAAGCUGUCGGCUCCUGUGAAUUUCACAGACUACAUUCAGCCGACCUGCUUAGCCUCAGAAAACAGCACUUACAACAAUGAGACCAGCAGCUGGGUCAUUGGUUUGGGUUAUAAUAAUGAUGGUACUUUCACCAAAACCCUGCAGGAGGCCAAAGUACCAAUCGUUGGAAACAAUGAGUGCAAAGGCAUCUUUCAAGGGAGCUAUCCCAAGAUCACAGAGAACAUGAUCUGUGCUGGAGAAAAGGAUUCAUGCUUGUUUACUUAUGGAGCACCACUCAUGACCAAAAGCAGAUCAGUCUGGCUCCAGAGUGGAGUUCUGAGUGUCAGUGCAUGUGGUGCAUUUCCUUCAGUGUUCACUCGUGUGUCCCAGUACCAGAAAUGGAUCAGCGACACAGUUACAGGGACACCACCAGGCUUUGUUACCUUCACCUCCCCAGAUGGUUCAUCACCACCCACGACUGCCCCCAAUGUGUGACGGUGUGUUGCAGUGGCGAAAACCUGAUCCGCCUCAC